AUUAACUGGAAAUAUUUAUCGAAUGUUAAGUUAUUUAUUUUGUUUUUUAAAGAUAAGAAUGUUGCACAGAAAGUUUCACAAAAACUUUUUCAGAUAAGUUACUAUUCGUAAAAUUGACGAUUCAAAAAGAUGUUUUAUGGGAGUAAACUUUACGAUGGAUCUAAAAGUGAUGUUUGCGUUUUACAGAAGUCCCCGUUUAUAAAACGUUUUCCGUGAUGGAACUAUAAAAAUGAUAAAGGUUAAAACUCAACUUAUAUAGACUAAAAACCAUAAGUUAAACGUUUUCCAAAAUGGCAAAGCUUAUGAUAGCGCUCAUGGUUUUUUCUUUUUUUGCCUUAUUAAAUCGUGCAGAUUCAUGUCAAGAAAACGAAGUAUAUCAGGAAUGUGGAAGUGCUUGUCCGCCAACUUGUACUAGUCAACCAUCUAUGUGUACAAUGCAAUGUAUAAAGGGUUGUUUUUGCAAAUCUGGUUUUGUAAAAGAUUCAAAUGGUAAAUGCAUCCAUCCAGAAAAAUGUCCUUGAGAGCUAACUGUACAAAACGAAAUGAUAAAGAUUGUGUACGUAUUCAUUUAUCGCAAAUAAAAAUUUGAUUUUAAAAAUCUUA
Non-coding RNA from Onthophagus taurus, 603 nucleotides. The record is from RefSeq and is a predicted model, not a curated record. Lineage: Eukaryota; Metazoa; Arthropoda; Insecta; Coleoptera; Scarabaeidae.